RNAcentral lists this non-coding RNA (220 nucleotides) under Secundilactobacillus kimchicus. Its description in RNAcentral is "Lactobacillus kimchicus T-box sequence". It matches the Rfam family "T-box leader". From Rfam's summary of the family: Uncharged tRNA acts as the effector for transcription antitermination of genes in the T-box leader family. T-boxes are found upstream of many aminoacyl-tRNA synthetase genes and some amino acid biosynthetic genes usually in Gram-positive bacteria. Lineage: Bacteria; Bacillati; Bacillota; Bacilli; Lactobacillales; Lactobacillaceae. The record is from RNAcentral.
UUAAAUGCGUUGACGAGAGAUUAGUAUUGCGUGAAGGGUCACAGAGAGAAGGCCGAUUGUCUGAGAGGCCUUCGAUAAUUGACGUAAGAAUUCACUCUCUGAGCAGGGAUUGGGCGUUAGUAAUAACAAAAAAUCUUCCGGUUAAUUAGCCGUUAUUCAAUUACCAAGUGACACUUUACGAGUGUAACUAGGGUGGUACCGCGUUGACUUCGUCCCUUUU